AAAAUGGCAGAACAAAAGAAUUAUGAGGGGAACUGGAAAGUAGGAAAGACGAACCAACACUCAAAAUGAGAAAGAAGGACAUAUAAGGAAAAAGACUACUCAUGAUAAAAAAGACUAAUGGAUUAACAUCUCCAUUGUGUGACAUUUUCUU
This is an unclassified non-coding RNA of Microcebus murinus (gray mouse lemur), 151 nucleotides long. NCBI's taxonomy places the organism in Eukaryota, Metazoa, Chordata, Mammalia, Primates, Cheirogaleidae. The record is from Ensembl.